CCUACGGGAGGCAGCAGUGGGGAAUAUUGGGCAAUGGGCGCAAGCCUGACCCAGCAACGCCGCGUGAAGGAAGAAGGCUUUCGGGUUGUAAACUUUUUUUGUCAGGGACGAAGCAAGUGACGGUACCUGACGAAUAAGCCACGGCUAACUACGUGCCAGCAGGCGCGGUAAUGCGUAGGGGGCAAGCGUUAUCCGGAUUUACUGGGUGUAAAGGGCGUGUAGGCGGGACUGCAAAUCAGAUGGGAAAACCACGGGCACAACCUGUGGCCUGCAGUUGAAACUGUAGUUCUUGAGUACUGGAGAGGCAGACGGAAUGCGUAGUGGAGCGGUGAAAUGCGUAGAUAUUAGGAGGAACCCCAAUGGCGAAGGCAGUCUGCUGGACAGCAACUGACGCUGAGGCGCGAAAGCGUGGGGAGCGAACAGGAUUAGAUACCCGUGUAGUC
This 443-nucleotide ribosomal RNA is filed under the name uncultured bacterium. RNAcentral describes it as "partial 16S ribosomal RNA". It matches the Rfam family "Bacterial small subunit ribosomal RNA", at positions 338 to 795 of the family's 1533-position model. The record is from RNAcentral.